GUCUACGGCCAUACCACCCUGAACGCGCAGGAUCUCAUCUGAGCUCGGAAGCUAAGCAGGGUCAGGCCUGGUUAGUACUUGGAUGGAGAAAUAAGUAACUACAGCUA
RNAcentral lists this ribosomal RNA (107 nucleotides) under Macaca mulatta (Rhesus monkey). Lineage: Eukaryota; Metazoa; Chordata; Mammalia; Primates; Cercopithecidae. The record is from RNAcentral.